AGGCCCAGCUAAUAUUUGUAUUUUAGUAGAGGGGGGUUUCGCCAUGUUGGCCAGGCUGGCCUUGAACUCCUGGCCUCAAGUGAUCUGCAUGCCUUGGCCUCCCAAAGUGCUGAAAUUACAGGUGUGAGCCACUACACCUGGCCAGAAGGUAAUUUUUUAUACAACAGUUUUAUACUUAUAUGGAAAAAUAGAGUAUGGCCUUUAUCAGAUAUACCUGUGUAAUUUUAUGGAGUGUUCUAAUUCUCUUG
Molecule: long non-coding RNA, 248 nt
Filed under: Homo sapiens (human)
Lineage: Eukaryota; Metazoa; Chordata; Mammalia; Primates; Hominidae
Description: non-protein coding lnc-CXXC4-2:1
Source: RNAcentral